GAUGAACGCUGGCGGCGUGCUUAACACAUGCAAGUCGAACGGGAAACCUUUUAUUGAAGCUUCGGCAGAUUUAACUGGUUUCUAGUGGCGGACGGGUGAGUAACGCGUGGGUAACCUGCCUUGUACAGGGGGAUAACAGUCAGAAAUGACUGCUAAUACCGCAUAAGCGCACAGGACCGCAUGGUCCGGUGUGAAAAACUCCGGUGGUAUAAGAUGGACCCGCGUUGGAUUAGCUAGUUGGCAGGGUAACGGCCUACCAAGGCGACGAUCCAUAGCCGGCCUGAGAGGGUGAACGGCCACAUUGGGACUGAGACACGGCCCAGACUCCUACGGGAGGCAGCAGUGGGGAAUAUUGCACAAUGGGGGAAACCCUGAUGCAGCGACGCCGCGUGAAGGAAGAAGUAUCUCGGUAUGUAAACUUCUAUCAGCAGGGAAGAAAAUGACGGUACCUGACUAAGAAGCCCCGGCU
Molecule: ribosomal RNA, 469 nt
Filed under: uncultured bacterium
Lineage: Bacteria
Description: bacterial SSU rRNA
Rfam family: Bacterial small subunit ribosomal RNA
Source: RNAcentral